Alligator mississippiensis (American alligator) is the source of this 631-nucleotide long non-coding RNA. RefSeq lists it as uncharacterized. Lineage: Eukaryota; Metazoa; Chordata; Crocodylia; Alligatoridae. The transcript has 2 exons. The record is from RefSeq and is a predicted model, not a curated record.
UGCUAUUCUUUUUGCACCACAGCAGGAUUCUUGGCUGCCAGUCCAAGCUGCUUUCACUUGCCAAGUUUUGAGAUGCUGGUUUUGCCUUUCAUUUUAUUGUUCCUUUCGCAACGUUACAGACCGACUUAAAACCGUGCACAGCUGCUAACAGGAGAAAAAUUAUUUGAAUUUCGCCCGAGAACGGAGCUGGGGAAGGAGCGCGCCGUGAUGUAACUAUAAUGACACCCAUCGAAAUGUCGCUGGAGCUCAUCCAUACCCAAGCAUCGUGGCCUUUCUGUUGACGCAACACCGCCACGAAAAGACUCAGCAUCACGGCGCAGAAGCCUCCAUCAAAAUUCAAUAAGGGGCUGCAAUUCUCUCACCAAACACAUUCAUUUAUUGUGAGCUAAGUGACUUUUUUUUUUUUUUUUAAAGGAAGGUUGCAUAAAUUGAAGACGGCAACAGACAAAACAACCUCCCCAAUGCUUUAUUUUACUUUAUUUUAUGGAACGUAGCUACCCCUCCUCCAAAAAACCCUACCCGAACUUGAUAUUCAAAUGCACUAAAUGAACCAACAAAAACAUUAUUUAUGGAUUCUUGUCAGGCUUUAAAUAGCCAGGAAAAAUUUGAUGGAAUAAAUAUGAUAUAUUUA